GACGAACGCUGGCGGCGUGCUUAACACAUGCAAGUCGAACGAUGAAGCCGGAGCUUGCUCUGGUGAAUUAGUGGCGAACGGGUGAGUAACACGUGAGUAACCUGCCCUUGACUCUGGGAUAACUGCUAGAAAUGGUAGCUAAUACCGGAUACGACCCUCGGAGGCAUCUUCAGGGGGUGGAAAGAAUUGCGGUGAAGGAUGGACUCGCGGCCUAUCAGCUAGUUGGUGAGGUAACGGCGCACCAAGGCGACGACGGGUAGCCGGCCUGAGAGGGUGGCCGGCCACACUGGGACUAAGACACGGCCCAGACUCCUACGGGAGGCAGCAGUGGGGAAGAUUGCACAAUGGGCGCAAGCCUGAUGCAGCAACGCCGCGUGAGGGAUGACGGCCUUCGGGUUGUAAACCUCUUUUAGUAGGGAAGAAGCGAAAGUGACGGUACCUGCAGAAAAAGCACCGGCUAACUACGUGCCAGCAGCCGCCGCAG
This 484-nucleotide ribosomal RNA is filed under the name uncultured bacterium. RNAcentral's name for it is "partial 16S ribosomal RNA". It matches the Rfam family "Bacterial small subunit ribosomal RNA", at positions 28 to 523 of the family's 1533-position model. The record is from RNAcentral.